GGCAGCCAUCCCACGCCCGGCCACACGUCGACCAUCCCCGAUCCUUGAGGAGGAUAAGGAGGACAACCCCCGACGUCCUAGACAAACCCUAGCUGCCAUAUCCCCUCUCCCUCACGCGUUAUCUUCUUCCCCACCCGCACCCAAGCUCCUGUCGCCAUGGACGACCUUGUCGUCGCGGCCAUCAUGCUCCCCGUCGCGUGAGAGGACGUCUAUGAGGUCCGCCGCGGUCGGAUCCAUCCGUUUCGGGGACCUGCUCAAGCCGGGACGCUCGCCAUCGCCGCCAUCUUCGCCGAUGGCCGCCACACCUCGCCGUCAAGUUCGUCGCAUCCCGGCCGCCCUGUGCCUUUGGACCAUGUCCACGAGCCUCCUG
Molecule: long non-coding RNA, 370 nt
Filed under: Hordeum vulgare
Lineage: Eukaryota; Viridiplantae; Streptophyta; Magnoliopsida; Poales; Poaceae
Description: long non-coding RNA (HVUL_LNC018207)
Source: RNAcentral